This is a long non-coding RNA of Sorghum bicolor (sorghum), 1274 nucleotides long. RefSeq lists it as uncharacterized. Lineage: Eukaryota; Viridiplantae; Streptophyta; Magnoliopsida; Poales; Poaceae. The transcript is spliced from 6 exons. The record is from RefSeq and is a predicted model, not a curated record.
GCACCCGACGCUCGCUCCUUCCUUCCUGUGGUGCGAUCUCCCCCAUCAGGUCGUGCCACCACCACCAGCCUGCGUCCUCGCACCGCCGUCGCAGAUCCAUCGCACUCGAUGUCGCGCGCCACCCACCAUAGGUGCUGCCAGCACCACCCUCGCCCUCGUGUCUCACGCGGCCUCGAUCAUCACCCUUGCCCUUGCCCUCAUCCAUCAGCCUCGCUGGACAUCGCACCUGUGUCAUCACCGUCGCCGUCACGAGCCACGACCGCCCUCGGCUGCUGCACGUGCUCUAUGAUCCCGGUGAGUCUUGCGGCGCAUGCGGGCCGGCCAUGGCACGACCAUGUGGCUAGGGUUCCGUGCUCACCAACAUUCACGCCGUCACCGCCCACUUGCUCACCGACAUCAAGGCCGACCUCUGAGAUGUUGAAGGAUUUAGAGGAUUUAGCAGGGCGUCGUCGCCGUGGAUGUCCUGGCGGGAGGCCGAAGUGAGCACCACUAUGUGGGAGCUAGCUGUGAAGACGCCAUCGCCGCGUGAUGAGCCAAUGAGAUCUCUUCAUGAUCUCCACGGUGCAUGCUCCAGUGGCGCCACAGUGCUGCAAUUGGAUAGAAGCAGUGGUGGUGCAGCAGCAAGAGGAUUGGUACCAUAAGGUCAAUGUAUGUUGUUGUCAAGGUCUUGGAGCAGUUGUACGGGAGGCAGUGCAAGGGUCCUAGACAUCUUGUCCUUCGAUUCUUGCAGAGUUACUUGCUUGUCUGACUGCAUCAACCUGAAACUAAGAACUCAAGUUACUCUGGUGAUCUGCAAAAAGACAAUAUAUAGCUGCCCAAGAUGAUGUGCAUCCACAGCUUGAUCCACUGAUGCUUCGUGCAGCUUUUAGAGAAGAUAUCUGUUUCGGUAUGCAAUCUUUCCUGCACCCCAUUCUCUUUCUAGGUUCAUUGAUUUUUUUAUGAUAAGAUCAGGAGGGGUUAUCCCUACUUUCUUGCUAUUGAUUGAGUCUGGCAUUGGUUCUAAGGGAAUAGUCAACAAGGAUUCAGAAGAGCAAAUGUCCAUCUGAGUGAAAGAAGUUGACAAAGUCCCUCUGUGUUCGGUCAUUAAUGUAUUUUCUCUAUGAAUGUCAUUCUGGUACUGCAAUUUUCAUUACUUUAGAACAACCGUCCAACGUUGAGGUCAUUGAGUUUUCGUCACUUUCAGUUUUCAAGGCUGCUGCAAGUGUUGGCUUGCAUGUGGAUUGACUAAGAUAGUGUCCUUAGUGCUUUGCAAUAUAAUUGUGAUUUUUAUCUGA